Helianthus annuus (common sunflower) is the source of this 2007-nucleotide long non-coding RNA. RefSeq lists it as uncharacterized. The record is from RefSeq and is a predicted model, not a curated record. Lineage: Eukaryota; Viridiplantae; Streptophyta; Magnoliopsida; Asterales; Asteraceae. The transcript has 3 exons.
AUGGUCACACCUUAAUUGCUUCAUGUGACCGUCCACCCUCCAACUCCCAAUUGGAAACCUAAUCCAUCACUACCUUCACCUUCACCACUUUCAUCAUUCCAAUUUCCACCGUUCAUCAACAUCGAUUGAAGCUUAUCUUGGUUUGCUAGGUGAUUUACAGCACAAUUUCGAGAAAAAAUGGGUGUACAGUGGUUUUGACGAAAUUUCGAUGUUGAAUGGGUAAUAACUCCGAUUAAGUACAUUCCAACAACCAUAGCAGAUUCAAUUUAAUCAGUUGCGUUGUCUUUUAAAUUCAAACAAACAUUUCUCUUUCACUCUCAUAACAUUUCUCAAACAAGAAAGCCAGAGGUAAUUUAUCAUUUUUAGGCAAUUUUGGUUCCGGUUACACAUAGAUUGUCAGUUUGUUACUGAUUCGUUUUCGUCUAUGUAUCUGUGUGUUUGUUGUCGAUUUUUGUUAUAAUAGCUUUUUAGGUCAUUUGAAGUAUACUGUUUGUUGAUUUUGCUUCGUUUUAAAGGUAGUUAAAGUUACAUGAUGUUAGAAGUAGAAGAAUGGGUAAGAAUGGUAAACUAAUAAAAGUUUGGAUUUUUGGGAAAUGUAGAGGGGGGUCAUGCACACCAGGUGUUUGUUAAAAUGACUAAGGGGUUAUUUACUUAUUUGUUCUGUACUUUCGUUUUUUGGAUGUAAAGCCUCUUUGAUAAAUAUAUCAAAUUUGCUGAAAUUUGCCUUCAUUUGAUGGCAGCUCUAUCAAUUUCACAAGUAAACUUGUUUCUUAUUCAGAGAGUGUCUAUAGUUGAUAUUUGCUUAAGGUAUCAGGUGUGUGGUCUCAUAUAUGAUGGAAAGAAUGCUUAGUUUAUGUUCAUCAUCGAGUACUGCAACUCCUAACUCUGUAAAUCCCCCAAUUGCUCAUCUUAGACUUGGCUUAGGAGGUUUACAACUCAAGCUGUGUUCUUGCUCCAUAAUUUAUCUAUUGGGUGGAAACAUAAAAAAAGCAUAAAACCUUGGAAAAGGGUCAAAACUUGUCCCACGUGUAGAUCUAAUGCAUAAAACCUCUAGAGUUCUGUUAAAAAUAGUUAGAAAAACUGAAUACAUGUUAGAUGAGUUGAGCAUUAUAGAUAAUCAGUUGAAGUCUUAACUAAAGAUAAGUUACUAUCAUUUUGUAUGUAAUCAUUAAUCUAGUUUUAAAUAAGGCUGGCUAAGCCUAAAAUAUGAUUAAGUGAUCACAAGUGGCAAGUUUCUGGAAAUAGAGAUCAAUAAAAGAAUACAGGCGAGUCUCCUGUAUUAAGUUUGGACUUUGGAUUGAAGUUUGGCUGCUGAUUCAUAUUUUAUUGAGUUUGUUUUUUGUGCUAUUAAUUAUAAAUUUCCAUCAAGUAGACUGGAGUUGCUACUAUUAAGAGUGCUGGGAGUCUCUUCUUUUUCCUUUGCUCAUAGAGAAGUUGCAACAAUAAAUGGGCCAGUGGUUAAAGUUAUGAGAGCAAUCUGCCAACAGUUGAUAAAUUCAAUUGCAAGCCCACUGAAGAAUGUAGCCAUGUGAGAGUGGGAGGAGAGAGGGAAUGUUGAAGACGUCCUUGGGCUGAAGGGCUUUUAAAUCUGAAAACCAUCGAGUUUCUAGAUCACCAGGGUGUCUUACUCUUACAUAAGUUGAAUUAUAUGAGGAAACUUGUUACAGCAUUCUACAUUGUCGGACUCGUACCACCCAACAAAGGCUUGAAAUGAAGUAACAGCAAUUCAAGUGACGUCACUCAAAAUUGGUGAUCAAGUAUUGCUGAAAUUACAAGGUGGUGCUACACAUACUGGUGUAGAUUCAAGAGCUCAUCAUCGAGAAAUGAAUUAAUUGACUUGUAUUUUGUAUUCUUGAUUUAUAAAUGUCUAGUUGUUAAUGACAUAAUUUUGUUAGUAAAACAGUGAAGGAUAAAAAUGGGUAAGGUAAAAAACAACAUAAUCUCGUGUGAGUUUUUUUCUCGGGGAAAAUUAUUGGACCAUAGUUGGGUCUUAACAGUUUGGGGAAA